GAGCCAGUGGCGCAAUGGAUAACGUGUCUGACUACGGAUCAGAAGAUUCUAGGUUAGAGUCCUGGCUGGCUCG
Molecule: transfer RNA, 73 nt
Filed under: Salmo salar (Atlantic salmon)
Lineage: Eukaryota; Metazoa; Chordata; Actinopteri; Salmoniformes; Salmonidae
Rfam family: tRNA
About the family: Transfer RNA (tRNA) molecules are approximately 80 nucleotides in length. Their secondary structure includes four short double-helical elements and three loops (D, anti-codon, and T loops).
Source: Rfam by way of RNAcentral